GGUCCAGACUCCUACGGGAGGCAGCAGUGGGGAAUAUUGCACAAUGGGGGAAACCCUGAUGCAGCGACGCCGCGUGAGCGAUGAAGUAUUUCGGUAUGUAAAGCUCUAUCAGCAGGGAAGAAAAUGACGGUACCUGACUAAGAAGCCCCGGCUAACUACGUGCCAGCAGCCGCGGGAAUACGUAGGGGGCAAGCGUUAUCCGGAUUUACUGGGUGUAAAGGGAGCGUAGACGGCUGUGCAAGCCAGAUGUGAAAGCCCGGGGCUCAACCCCGGGACUGCAUUUGGAACUGUGUGGCUGGAGUGUCGGAGAGGCAGGCGGAAUUCCUAGUGUAGCGGUGAAAUGCGUAGAUAUUAGGAGGAACACCAGUGGCGAAGGCGGCUUACUGGACUGUAACUGACGUUGAGGCUCGAAAGCGUGGGGAGCAAACAGGAUUAGAUACCCUUGUA
This 447-nucleotide ribosomal RNA is filed under the name uncultured bacterium. RNAcentral's name for it is "bacterial SSU rRNA". It matches the Rfam family "Bacterial small subunit ribosomal RNA", at positions 328 to 792 of the family's 1533-position model. The record is from RNAcentral.